CAUACUGGGUCCGAGGAACAAGAGGGGGAGCUAUUUCUUGCGUCUAGGUGGACGAUACGUACAAUCGGGGGCGAGUACUCUCUUCUUUAACAAGACUCGAACAAUAUUGCUAAACCAAAUGUGGGGUUCAAACCCACCUUGGUCGAGCGACAAGAAGCGUCAAGCAUGAUCGAUCUAAUAAACCUUUACGUACUUAGAUACAAAUGACAAAGGGGUGGAUUAUCACAAAGUCAAUCCCGUAGUCUCAGACUUGGAUGGAAAAAUGUAAUGAAAAAUGGUAGGUUUGAUUCUGUAAGGCUCCACAAAAUACCCUCAAUAAAGUACUUCCCCGCAAAUUUACACGUAGUUUGAAGUUAAAGGGUGGAUGGUCGAUCAGCAAGAAACGUCAAGUAGGAUCGACCUAGGAAAACUUUGCGUACUUAAAUACCUUCGACUAAGGGGUGGAUGAUCACGUAGUCAAUCCCGUCGUCUCAGACAUAGAUACAAAUAGGCAAUGAAAAACGAUGGGUUUGAUUCCACCAGGUCCCACAAAGACGCCCAAUAAAGUUAUUCCCAGCAAAUCAACACGUACCUAGAAGUUAAGGGCUACCGAUGUGAGGACUAUGCAUUUGGUCGGGGUAAAUUGUCAAGUAUCAUGUACGAGCAUGUUGAUCGCGAUUAAACGAAGUCCGUAUCGACAACCCCUUAUUGUAACCCCAGUAUUAAAGAUUUCACACUAUCUCAUUCCACGAGUACGUUAAGUUUGAAUUUGGUUGUAAAACUUAUACUUAACUUGGCGGUGAAUGGUAACAACUGGUAGUUCCUAUAUGUUUGGUCCCAUUUACUCAACAAGUACUUUGUACUAAUACGUAAACAAUAAUGUAAGUCUACAAAACCGGACGUAAUUUGAAAUCCCAGACACCGUAGUACGUUAAUGUAAGUAAAACGUCUCAAUACUUAGUUAAGAGUACGAAUAUAAAAGCGAUGUCGAGUACCGUAGUCUGAGCAGUCCUAGUUACAUGGUUCUUAGCUUACUUCUACUGAAUCUACGUAAACUACGCAUGGGUUGAUGACUUCGCCCAGGUUAUCUACUACUUAGGCUCAGACUGCCAACGCCUUUCCCUUUUUUUCCCCCCUUGUACACGCUAUUUGAGGUCCCCGUCGCACUUCUCCAAAUUCUUCGACUUACUACAAAACAGUCUCCUCUUUUUUUCCGAACAACUCCUCUACUUUAAUCCACCAGAUUACGUAGACGGCUUUUAAUGGUCCUGGUUAUCCGUGGUCGUUUACACCCAAGAGUCGUUCCAACUACUUUUUCGAAGUCGUUAUUAACACCUACCAUCUUCCCUGUGAGGUAAACUACUGUUUCUGCAACUCUCCCAAGAUCCACACGGGCCUCUCCCUCGUUGAUAUUUGUUAUUAGGUCGUGGGGUACAUAAUAGAAGUCAAUCCGUUUGUGAUCCCUAUUCGUCGUCACUUUGUUCCUAGAGUCACUAACUCCUUUAGCACUUCUUCCUUAUACAUCCCGUUACUGGUUCCGUCUUAGACUACGAAAGUUCCAACGGAUACAACAUACACGUCAAUGUAUACAAGAGCGCGGUGGCAACUUCGUGUUGAUGAAGGACUGUCUUAUGACCCCUCCAGACGUGUGGGGACUAGAGUAUGUGUACAUGUUGACCCCAUUCAUACAGGCCCUCCUUCACGAAGAUAGUCGACCCUCCCAGUUCAGUCUCGAGGAACCCCCGUUUCAAUUUAGUUUGUAGAGACCAACGUGAAAGAAGUAAGUCCACAAGAUAGACCUGUUAGAACUAGAACUCCUGCUCUUGGAUGGUGUGCUGCAGAAGGGUUCUAAGUUCCAGAUACUAGUCUUUUUCUAAUUGUACCAAUAACUUUUCCUGUGUUCGCGUCCUUUCUUGCGUCUAUAACAAUAUAUGCCUGAUGAAGACGGCUCCGACCGCGUGUGUCACACGAUAUCGUCCUUGUCUCGAAGUUACAGGAAGUAACCGUUCUAACGACUAUAGCCUCUGCCCAGUUCGUCUAUAGUUUCUCGUGGCUACUAGCUCCUCUAACAAUGAUAUGAACACCUUUUUCACCCGGUUAUAAGUAGAUCUACGGCUCGUCGCAACGUUCGCCGCAGAUUCUUUCCCCGGUUCUAUUUGUUUUUCGUGCGCCUACCCACCCUACCACAACACUCCCUCUGACUGUAAAAGUAACUUCUUCUCUGGAGAUUCUACGAGCGUCUAUAACUACUUUAUAGUCUUUGACAUUCCGUCUUGUUGUUUUCCGGUUCCCUUGUUCUGAUGGUUCCACUACUACAGAGUGGACUUCUCAGGCCUCUUCUCAGCGGUAAAAGUGGUGCAAGCCGGUAAACAGGACACUUAUGUCUAUUUGCCUUACAUCUACUACCAUUAGGAUAGGUAUCCAGUUUACUGUCAGUUGCCCCACCAAGGGGCUUUUCUCGUUCCCAGCUUCUCUGUCUCCUCCUAGGACUGGGCCGCUAAUUCUUAGACCUUCCUGACCAGCGCCGUCGUCUGGUUCUGUUACUUCAUUGUUUACUGUGACACCACGUACUUGUUUACGGUUAGGUCCGGUUUCGUCGUCUACCAUCCGUUACCCAUAUACCGGGAUUACGUCGCGAAUUGUGUCUCCAAGGGAGUAUACUGGAGCCUUAUCUGUUACGACCCGGUCAGGAUAGUGGCCCUUCCCUUAACAGUCAACACCGAUUUUGAGUUGUUGGCAAGGUGUAAGUCGUAGUGUGACGGGUCCGGCCAGGUUCGUCUAAGUUUUAUCUAAAGUGUCCAAAAUCCUCGUUUCUGGACUACCUACUAAAGUCAUCUCGCCACUGUGGUCUUCAACGUCCAUGCUCGAGGCACGGUAGUCGAUUGUGUUGUGGACAUAGUUGUAUACCCUUUUUACUUGAGGUUCCGAGUCCCGAACUGUAUUAUACGUGAGGAUACGUGUCCCGCUAUCUCGGCUUAUUCCGCCGCUCUUGUUGUGAACAAUCGGACUUGUCCCUCUAGCGCCGUGUUCUCAACCUGCAUGCACUCCUCUACCUCCUCCGUCGUUAGUUGGACUUGCAAGGUGUCUGUGUUCUACCGGAGUCAUGUGUCGGUGUUGCUUUUUCUUGUCAAUUCGGUCCGUUCCGACGUGCCAGGGGAAAACAAGACCCCAUGCUAGGAGGGGAUUCUCGUGGUCGAUUACAACUUUUCCAGAAGUUCUACAAAUACUUCCUCGGGCGUAGACGUUCCUUUCUGUUAACCCAAUAUUCGUGAGUCGGUUUUAUGUAGCUCGAGAGACGGCUCGCUUAGUCCUGCUUGGAAAGCCUUCCCCCACACUAUCUAUUACUAAACUACUGUUAUCGUCAAUCUUCUAUAGUCGUCUAACUGAUGUGAAAACGUAACCUAUUUCUACUUCCCACGACCGCUGUAACCGAGCUCGGUCUGAAACACUUGGUACACUCGUCUCCUCUGCACUAACACUCCAUACACGUCCUGUACAAAUAACCCCUUGUAUAGUUCAUACUGCACGUGUCUACGUGACUCAAGAAUGAGUUGCAGUUCAAGUUGAAGUGUACCAGCUGGAUGUAAACCCUAAAACAUUUCUCCUCCUAUUAGCAAGAACUGGGUUGUUAAUUGUUGCCUCUGCUCAGACUGUUUCAGUAGGUCUCAUCCGUGUCUUUCCAACGUCUGUUAGAAGUACUUCGUAACGUUUCCACGUAAGUUCGUAAAAAAGUUCCAACCCGAGGACUGUACUGCUCUACCUUAUGUCACAAGGGCUUUCCCUAUUUGCAACCAGAUACGUCGCCCGGUCUGUCGCCCCAUAUACGUGCCGUGAUACCUGCCUUAACCUACCCUUCGUUUAAGUUCUCCCUGGACUUGGGCGUUGUGCUGCCCCACGAGGUAAGGUCCUACUUGUAUGACCAUCUACACGAACCUGACCUCCCCUUGUAACCUGUGAACGGACUCUCUAUGUUCUUCACGGAACAAUCCUUGUUCCUCCUACGCACUACUAAUAACGAGAUCGUUUGAUAGACGCGAACAAACCAGCUCUUAGCUUCGACGUCAAACUUGAAAAUAUACAUACCCUGCAGGAUUAGACGUUCGAAAUACGAAAACCCGUCAGUUCUUUUGACUUAAAUCGCCUGACAUUCUAAAUCAUUUAAUUUCGAAAUUGGUAAACCACG
Molecule: ribosomal RNA, 4162 nt
Filed under: Triticum aestivum (bread wheat)
Lineage: Eukaryota; Viridiplantae; Streptophyta; Magnoliopsida; Poales; Poaceae
Description: partial small subunit ribosomal RNA
Source: RNAcentral